RNAcentral lists this ribosomal RNA (198 nucleotides) under Escherichia coli O91:NM str. 2009C-3745. Its description in RNAcentral is "partial 23S ribosomal RNA". It matches the Rfam family "Bacterial large subunit ribosomal RNA", at positions 2751 to 2925 of the family's 2925-position model. The record is from RNAcentral. Lineage: Bacteria; Pseudomonadati; Pseudomonadota; Gammaproteobacteria; Enterobacterales; Enterobacteriaceae.
AAAUGCGGAAGAGAUAAGUGCUGAAAGCAUCUAAGCACGAAACUUGCCCCGAGAUGAGUUCUCCCUGACUCCUUGAGAGUCCUGAAGGAACGUUGAAGACGUGGACGUUGAUAGGCCGGGUGUGUAAGCGCAGCGAUGCGUUGAGCUAACCGGUACUAAUGAACCGUGAGGCUUAACCUUACAACGCCGAAGGUGUUU